UACGGAGGGUGCAUGCGUUAUCCGGAUUCACUGGGUUUAAAGGGUGCGUAGGUGGGCAAGUAAGUCAGUGGUGAAAUCUCCGGGCUUAACCCGGAAACUGCCAUUGAUACUAUUUGUCUUGAAUACUGUGGAGGUCAGCGGAAUAUGUCAUGUAGCGGUGAAAUGCUUAGAUAUGACAUAGAACACCAAUUGCGAAGGCAGCUGGCUACACAAAUAUUGACACUGAGGCACGAAAGCGUGGGGAUCAAACAGG
Molecule: ribosomal RNA, 253 nt
Filed under: uncultured bacterium
Lineage: Bacteria
Description: partial 16S ribosomal RNA
Rfam family: Bacterial small subunit ribosomal RNA
Source: RNAcentral